RNAcentral lists this ribosomal RNA (362 nucleotides) under uncultured bacterium. RNAcentral's name for it is "partial 16S ribosomal RNA". It matches the Rfam family "Bacterial small subunit ribosomal RNA", at positions 338 to 697 of the family's 1533-position model. The record is from RNAcentral.
CCUACGGGUGGCAGCAGUGAGGAAUAUUGGUCAAUGGCCGGAAGGCUGAACCAGCCAUGCCGCGUGAAGGUCAGUGCCCUAUGGGCGUUAAACUACUUUUGUGCGGGAGCAAUAUUGGUCAGGUGUGGCCAUAGGAGAGUACCGUACGAGUAAGCAUCGGCUAACGCCGUGCCAGCAGCAGCGGUAAUACGGGGGGUGCAAGAGUUAUCCCGUAUUGAUGGGUUUUAAGGGUGAGUAGGCUGUGAGGUAAGUUUGCGGUGAAAUGCCCCUGCUCAACGGGGUGAAGUGACAUUGAUACUGGCUUGCUGGAAUGCGGAUGACGUGGGAAGAAUGUGUGGUGUAGCGGUGAAAUGCAUAGAGAU